This 377-nucleotide ribosomal RNA is filed under the name uncultured bacterium. Its description in RNAcentral is "bacterial SSU rRNA". It matches the Rfam family "Bacterial small subunit ribosomal RNA", at positions 103 to 479 of the family's 1533-position model. The record is from RNAcentral.
CGGGUGAGUAACACGUAUCCAACCUACCUCAUACUCGGGGAUAGCCUUUCGAAAGAAAGAUUAAUAUCCGAUAGCAUAUAUUUCCCGCAUGGGUUUUAUAUUAAAGAAAUUCGGUAUGAGAUGGGGAUGCGUUCCAUUAGUUUGUUGGGGGGGUAACGGCCCACCAAGACUACGAUGGAUAGGGGUUCUGAGAGGAAGGUCCCCCACAUUGGAACUGAGACACGGUCCAAACUCCUACGGGAGGCAGCAGUGAGGAAUAUUGGUCAAUGGACGCGAGUCUGAACCAGCCAAGUAGCGUGAAGGAUGACUGCCCUAUGGGUUGUAAACUUCUUUUAUAUGGGAAUAAAGUUGUCCACGUGUGGAUUUUUGUAUGUACC